AACCCACGAACCUCAAGAUCACGGCCUGAGCCGAAAUCGGACACUCAACUGAUGGAGCCACCCAGGUACCCCAAGUAGCAUUCUUUUUGAAGACAUCCUUGAAAACCAUCUCUUUCCUUUGCCUUGAUUCUGCUUAUAUGAAAAAAAACUUUUGAAUGGGGAAUAUUUGUACAUGUAACCAAUUUUAAAGGUAAUGAAGUUAAAAGGUACAAAAUACUAUACAAUGAAACAAAUCUCUUAUCUUUAUUCCCUGAAGAUCCAGUUUCCUCCAACAGAAGCAACCACCAUUACUUGUUCCUCUCGCACCCUUCCGGAGAGAAUACAAGGAUAUCCAAGCAUAUGAGAAGACUGGGACCCAGACAGCUAAAGGGACUUGCCCAAGGUGACACAUCUCCACAGUGUCAAAGUCUCCAGGCCUUUCACCCCAGAGUGACUUGGUAACAGCCUUUUCCACCCCCAAGCCCUCAAGUGUUCGUGAGUUCUCAAAGAAUUUGGAAAAUCAAUGUGCUGUUAUUCUAAUUUUGGUCUAUCUGCAUAUGUGACUUUGUGCUUUGGUGCUAAGAAUAGAAGACAUCAAAAUAGCGCUCUCAGCAACGCUGAGUGUACAGAAAAUUGAAGCGGAAAUGGAAAGGGUGCCCUCAGAGAGGAUGUCACAUCACCAGACUUUGGUUUUGAAGCCACCAGAAAGCAGAGAGAAGCUGUUUUUUUGAAGAGAAUUUCUUCAGCUACUGAAGGUUGGCUGAGUGUGCAUUAAGGCCUGAGCAGCAAUGCCACAUGCCUGGCAGAUGAUGGGCUCUGACCCAAAGAUAUGAGGUUACAGCUCUGGGGCAGACGAGCAGCCUGAGCUCUUUUCUCUGCCUGAUGGCCCCAGUGCCCGACUCUCUGAGGAAACGAACAGAUGGUCACUGCAAGAGUCACUGAAUCUCCACAUUCAUUCAUUUUUUGGCGACCUUGGCCAGCCUCGGAACAGUCAGUCAAAUCUGCAUAAGGAAGCCGGCGGUAAUGGGGCUCGUGGGCACAGGUACUCAUCUGACACCUAAUUAAGCCAUCUUGGUAUAUCAUCUCUACAAUGCCUGUUAUUAUUUUAAGAAACAACAUAAAGAGAAUGAUAAUUAAAAGUAACACCCCGGGUGGGAAUUUUGUCUCCAUUCCAGUGGUUGGCAAGUAAAGCACCCUGGGUUUUUUUUUUGUUUUGUUUUGUUUUUUUCGGUUUUUUUUUGAGGUAACAUUUCUAUAAAUUUUCAUAGAGCACACAACCUCAAAGCUUGUCUCUGCUGCAGUUUCCCCCGAUUUCUCUGCCAAUGCUUUGGGUUUGUGGCUUCGUUCCACUGCUGUUUCCUUUCUUUUUUUCUUCUCCUUUUCACUGAGCGUUUUCUGAUUUUACUUGAACUUGCAAUGGGGGAGGGGAGGGUGUAUUGCUUUCUGGAUAUUACAUGUCAUCUGAAGCAUAAAAUGCUAAACCCAGUUGCAUGUUGUUUUCAGGUGAGAAGGCAAUUUUACACUUCACGGUUGGGCCCACACGAGGCAUUUUCAUGCAGGGAAAUUUUCCAUCCUAGACUCACAUCAAGAUGGCGCCCAGGGAUUUGCUACCAGUGGAAAGUUUGCCCACUGUCUGUCUGCAGCCUUCCCGAAUGGGCGUUCUUGAUAGACCUGUUCUCCAGAAUGCCGCUAUCUACCCCUGGUCUUCAGGUUCCCCUGACAUAGCGUCCAUCAGGUCCCUGUGUCCUUUGCUACCUGCCUGGGUCCUGUGUCUACGACUUGAGCCACUUUGGUUAGUAACACUCUUACUGACCUGCCAUACACCCUUUCCUCUUGUCCCUUGUACCAGACCAAACCCCACCUUUGGAUCAUCCCACAAUCCACCUUCUCUGCUCCUGACGUGAAUCUGGAGAAAACUCCCAGUAGUACCAACUGAGGCCACCACCGAUUCCUGAUCACAAUCCUCACCUGGCAUCCUUUGACAAACACUUUACUUGCCCUCAAUCGUCUCCUUUGCCCCUAAAAACCCUCUUCCUUGACCCUGUAUCUCCACCUCAUGGAAACACCCCGUCUUCUUCCUUUCACAGAUUUCUGAAAGUGUAUCCAACACCAGCAGCUCCCAUGAGCUCAGUAGGUAGCUUAUACAGAUUCCCAGGCCCCACACUAAAGCAAAUCUCUGAGGUGGGGCCUGAGAUUUGUAUUCAAGAACGUUGUCUUCAUUGGGAACUACUCAUCGGCCUAUACUCCCUGACUUUCCUUCCUCACUUUCAGUGGCUUCUCCAGCUGUCACAGCCUGGCUUCUACCCUCACCACUCUGUGAAACGAGGUCAGCAGGAACAGCCACGACAGCCCGCACACUCCCAGGUCUCCCCAGAGAGCGUACUCUCUGGAGUACUGAUGUUCUUGGUCACUCCAAGACUUCCGGUCACCUCCUCUCUUCCUUUGCCUUCUACCUCUGACCAUCUCCCUCAGUGCCUUUUGUGUAAGCUUUUCUUGCACCUUAAAUACUGGCGGUGUUUUCACAAGUGCAUCUCGCACUCCUUGUUGCUAGAUCCUCAGAGACACUAAGAAACUUCUCGAAGCUCAAGGUGAUCUUGAGAAAGCCUCCUCCUACCGUUGCCUCUUUCACUGUCCUAACUACCUCAGAUUCUUCACUGCCUGUGAGCUUCUCAAGGUCAGAGACUGUUCAAUCAUCUUUCCAUGGUCAGUGAGUGCCUCAGGAAGCAUGUAGCAAUUAGGAGGCGCUCCAUAAAUGUUAGCUGAACUAAAUACAAGUCUGCUCCGAGUACUCGCGUGAAUGAGCCUUGGGCCCAUGGUGCGAAGCUCAAAGUUACCUCUCAGUCCCUUCAGAACGGGGUGACCUUGGAGGUAUGAAUUAGAGCCAGCCCCUGUCCAGACCUGGGGUGGGGAGGGGUGGGUGUUAAAAGCAGUUCUCCAAAGGUGGUAGUCAGAGCUCUAGCAAAUAACAUCUCUUCUGGCAAAUUUACUUCUUGUUAGUCUCAAAUGUUCAUAGGAAUGACAUCAUGCCUGGCCAAGUGCUAAUUUCUAAGCUUUCUUCCUGCCAAAUUUCCACCAUGCUGGCUCAUGCUUGCCAAUCUCAUAGCAGUGAUGUGUUUUCUAGCAGGGAACACAAGUAUUGCUUUGGGAGUUAUUCUGGAGCCUCAUAAAACUGUUCUUGGGGCCCCUUUAUAGGGAAGGAUUCCAUAAUGCACCCAGUUGGAGAGUGUUAUUGCUAUCAGGAGAGGUCCUUACAGUUGCUGUAGUGAACAUCCUUGAAUACUGUCUAGGACGGACCUGUCAUUGAAGAAAGAUCUCUAACUAACACCCCAUAAGUUCCAAAAUCAUGUUUCGGGUUUUUAGUGUCAUUCAAACCCUUUCCUGAAUAACACCAGUCCUAUUUCUUUGAGCACAGGACCCGUACUAUAUUCAUGGCUGUAGGUUCUCCACACAAGCAGGGCGUAUCUGUUUUGUUCAACAUUGCUUCCCUGGGGCUGGCAUAGCACCCGGCAUAUAGCAAGUACUUGGUGUCAGUUGGUGAUGGAGAACGGAAAAAGAAGAAACUUGGGGAGCUUGAGGUGCUUGUCUCCAGAACUGUGGAGCUGAAGGUGACAACCAGGACACCAUGCUCUGGCUUCCCACUUACGGUGAGGCCUCAGGGUUCCUGCCUGCUCCUACCCUCCAUGGACUGAUGGCCAGGCCUGGAGUCUUGACGGCACCAAGGGCUGGUGGAUAUUGAAAGGCAAGUUCAUUCAUCUGGUCAGGCAGGAACUGGAAAGCUGCCCAUCCAACCCUCACCCCUGGCUGCUGUUUCUCCUCCAGACAGAAACUUGGGGAAGUUUCUUUCCUUCUGGGUGUGCCGUCUCCUUCCUCUAGCUAAUCUUCUAGCUUCCUUCCAAAACUGUAUUGGUGAUGAAUUAGCAAAAUAAAAAAAUUUAAAGCCACCCUGAAGAUUACAAAAAGAAAAACAUACUACUGCUAAAUCUCUAAAACAAUGGCUGUCUUUAUAUACAAUGAUACAUAGUAGGAUAACCAUAAACUAUCAUUACCUUAAGAGAGGAGAGAAGACCAGACCCUCUGUGGACCAAGGUGAUGUGAUCAACUCAUACAGGUUUUACACAGAAUUUCAGGGGCCCGUGAAUCCCCUGAAGAUCUCUCAUCAUCUUCCCAGACAUACACGUAUGGACCCUGGUUAUGAAUAUCUAGGCUAGAGAUUCCACGGGGUCUUUGACUCAGUGUUAGAAACUGACAGGACCUCAGAGUUCAAGUGAUGUGACCCUCAUCUGAUGAGAGUUAGCAGAUUAGGUAUGAGGCCUAGAGAGUUUUCCUGGCUGACUCAAAGAGCGCACAGCUGGUGGACAGCAGAAGGGAGACCUUCACUUAGGUUUUCUGAGUCCUGGUCACUCUGCAAUAUUGUGUUAAUAUGCUCUGUGGAAAACAAAUGUCAAGAAGGGAGAAGAAUGGAGAGAGACUGAGUAUAGGGAAAGGAAGGAAUAUCUGUUCCUAGAAUGUACAGACUGGCUAUUACUGGGUUUCAUUUUUGUGUUUGGCAGAGUUUUCCAGCUUCGAGCCAAAGAGACCAAGCCUGAAGUUCCCUUCCAGCCCCCUACUUCAGACCUGUAACUGAAUCCUGAUAGGUCAUCUCAGGCAGACCGGUGAAGGGGAAGAUAAGAAAAAAGAAAAGCAAAGAUGCUGGAGUCUUGCAGCCUAACAACACACGAGGGAAAUUGUUUGCCUGGAAGCCUCCAGGGAUGGCAAAAUGGCAGAAAUUUCCAGUGGGGAAAAUGUGGGGUGGGGGGUGGGGGUGCUAAAUUAUUUGAAUGGGACCCUUUGAAGGCUUCUGCUACCCCUACACCUGCUGAGGCUUUCCACUGAGCUUUGGGAAAAGGCUAGCUUUUCGUAGCAGAGCAGAGAAAGGGGGAGAAUGAAGGAGGCACGUAAUGCA
Molecule: long non-coding RNA, 4921 nt
Organism: Leopardus geoffroyi (Geoffroy's cat)
Lineage: Eukaryota; Metazoa; Chordata; Mammalia; Carnivora; Felidae
Exons: 5
Source: RefSeq, a predicted model, not a curated record